RNAcentral lists this ribosomal RNA (504 nucleotides) under fungal sp. FSU 10149. Its description in RNAcentral is "eukaryotic LSU rRNA". It matches the Rfam family "Eukaryotic large subunit ribosomal RNA", at positions 87 to 512 of the family's 3401-position model. Lineage: Eukaryota; Fungi. The record is from RNAcentral.
CGGCGAGUGAAGCAGCAAUAGCUCAAAUUUGAAAUCUGGCGUCUUCGACGUCCGAGUUGUAAUUUGUAGAGGAUGCUUCUGAGUGGCCACCGACCUAAGUUCCUUGGAACAGGACGUCAUAGAGGGUGAGAAUCCCGUAUGCGGUCGGAAAGGCGCUCUAUACGUAGCUCCUUCGACGAGUCGAGUUGUUUGGGAAUGCAGCUCUAAAUGGGAGGUAAAUUUCUUCUAAAGCUAAAUAUUGGCCAGAGACCGAUAGCGCACAAGUAGAGUGAUCGAAAGAUGAAAAGCACUUUGGAAAGAGAGUUAAAAAGCACGUGAAAUUGUUAAAAGGGAAGGGAUUGCAACCAGACUUGCUCGCGGUGUUCCGCCGGUCUUCUGACCGGUCUACUCGCCGCGUUGCAGGCCAGCAUCGUCUGGUGCCGCUGGAUAAGACUUGAGGAAUGUAGCUCCCUCGGGAGUGUUAUAGCCUCUUGUGAUGCAGCGAGCGCCGGGCGAGGUCCGCGC